This 462-nucleotide ribosomal RNA is filed under the name uncultured ammonia-oxidizing beta proteobacterium. RNAcentral's name for it is "bacterial SSU rRNA". It matches the Rfam family "Bacterial small subunit ribosomal RNA", at positions 194 to 647 of the family's 1533-position model. The record is from RNAcentral. Lineage: Bacteria; Pseudomonadati; Pseudomonadota; Betaproteobacteria.
AAGUAGGGGAUCGCAAGACCUUGCGCUUUUGGAGCGGCCGAUGCCUGAUUAGCUAGUUGGUAGGGUAAUGGCCUACCAAGGCGACGAUCAGUAGUUGGUCUGAGAGGACGACCAGCCACACUGGGACUGAGACACGGCCCAGACUCCUACGGGAGGCAGCAGUGGGGAAUUUUGGACAAUGGGCGAAAGCCUGAUCCAGCAAUGCCGCGUGAGUGAAGAAGGCCUUCGGGUUGUAAAGCUCUUUCAGUCGAGAAGAAAAGGUUGUGACUAAUAAUCACAACUCAUGACGGUAUCGACAGAAGAAGCACCGGCUAACUACGUGCCAGCAGCCGCGGUAAUACGUAGGGUGCGAGCGUUAAUCGGAAUUACUGGGCGUAAAGGGUGCGCAGGCGGCUUUGUAAGUCAGAUGUGAAAGCCCCGGGCUUAACCUGGGAAUUGCGUUUGAAACUACAAAGCUAGAGU